RNAcentral lists this ribosomal RNA (253 nucleotides) under uncultured bacterium. Its description in RNAcentral is "partial 16S ribosomal RNA". It matches the Rfam family "Bacterial small subunit ribosomal RNA", at positions 524 to 776 of the family's 1533-position model. The record is from RNAcentral.
UACGUAGGGGGCUAGCGUUGUCCGGAAUCAUUGGGCGUAAAGAGCGUGUAGGCGGCCCGGUAAGUCCGCUGUGAAAGUCGGGGGCUCAACCCUCGAAUGCCGGUGGAUACUGUCGGGCUAGAGUGCGGAAGAGGCGAGUGGAAUUCCUGGUGUAGCGGUGAAAUGCGCAGAUAUCAGGAGGAACACCAAUUGCGAAGGCAGCUCACUACACAAUCAUUGACGCUGAGGCACGAAAGCGUGGGGAUCAAACAGG